This 27-nucleotide non-coding RNA is filed under the name Homo sapiens (human). The record is from RNAcentral. Lineage: Eukaryota; Metazoa; Chordata; Mammalia; Primates; Hominidae.
UGGUCAGUGGAGUCCAGCGUCCGGGGC